GUAUCCAUUCUUUCCCUGCAUAAUCCGAAGCUGACCCUACUCCAGCUUUAGGAGUCAACCUGUUUUGUCCAAGAUGGUAGCUUUCAAGCUUUUUUUGACUCCAAUCCACAAGUAGAUUUUAUAUGGUGAUCCAGGUUAUGGACCACUGUUUGAAAGACACUGAUGAGUGUAAUGCAAUUGCCCUUAGAAAAAUUGUUGAGAAACCUGGAUAAAAGCCUACUGGAGGAACGUAGAUGGAGCUGGUGGCCAUUAUUCUUAGUAAACUCAUGCAGGAACAGAAAACCAAAUACUGCACGUUCCCACUUACAGGGACCAGGUGGAGAUAAGUGAAUCAUGGGGGCAGUUUCCUCCAUGCUGUUCUUGUGAUGGCUACUAGACAGAAGUGGCAUGCCUUGUCUCAGAUGGGACUUUGAACUUGGACUUUUGGUUUAAUGCUGGAAUGAGUUAAGACUUUGAGGUCCUUGUUUUUUCUUCACCUUCCACCAUGAUUGUAAGUCUCCUGAAGACUCGCCAGCCAUGUAGAACUGCAUAUUCUCAGUUUGGGUGUGGUGGCGUGUACCUGUGGCCCUGGCUACUCAGAAGGCUGAAGAAGGAGGAUCCCUUGAGCCUGAGAGUUUGAAGCACAAGAACCAUCAAUCAGCACAGAAGACUUCUGUGACCCCAAACUAUGUGGGGAUUUCUCCCUAGCAACAAGCAAGCAAUCAGUUUGGCAACAAACACUGACUGGAUGUCUUCCAAUUCAAUUCCAACACUAUCUACCUGGAAAUAGUGUCUGAUCCCACAGGGUAAGGGCUCAGCCCCCCAAAGAUUGUCCUCUUUCCCUCUCCCAACACUGCUAGACACCAGUCACAGGUCUGGGGCCUCUGGAACUUCUGACAACUGGCUUCAAGUUGGGGUUCCCACAAUCCCUCUUGGGGUUCAAUUAAUUUGCUAUAGUGACUCACAGAACUCAGGGAAACAUGUUUACCAAUUUAUUUUAUUACAAAGGAUACAGAUGAAGAGAUGCUCAGGGUGAGGUAUGGGGGAAGGGGCACAGAACUCCCAUGCCCUCCCUGGGCGAGCUGCCCUCCAGGAACUUGCAUGUGUUCAGCUAUCCAGAAGCUCUCUAAAUCCAGUCAUCCUGGCUUUUUAUAGAAGCUUCAUGACGUUAGCAUUCCUUCCCCCAGGGUAUGGGAUGGGACCCUCUCUGGAAUGGUGGUCUUAUGACCCACAAUCAGAUUACAGACCUGCCUUGGGGCAGGUGAAAGGAACACUGGAGAAAGUCAGAGAGGCCUAACAUACCAACAUUGUAACAAAAGACUGUAACAAGGACUCUGGGAGUUAUGAGCCAGGAAUCGUAGAUGGAAACCUAUACAUAUGUGUGUAUUUAUAUCUAUUACCACAUCAAGGAAAGGUUUCACACACUGGUAUGAAACUGGAAAUAAUUAACAGGAGAAAACUUGGAAAGUUUGCAAGUAUGUGGAAUUAACACUCCUGAACAACCAAUGGGUCAAAGAAGAAAUCAGAAAUAUCUUAAGACAAAUGAAAAUGGAAACACAACAUACCGAAAUUUAUGGGAUGUGGCUAGGUGCAGUGGCUCAUGCCUGUAAUCUCAGCAUUUUGGGAGGCCAAGACUGGCACAUCACUCGAGGUCAGGAGUUCAAGACUAGCCUGGCCAACAUGGUGAAACCCCCAUCUCUACUAAAAAUACAAAAAGUAGCCUGUACUAAAAAUCUGUACUAAAAAUAUAAAACAAUUAGCUGGGCGUGGUGGCGUAUGUCUGUAAUCUCAGCUACUCAGGAGGCUGAGACAGGAGGAUUGCUUGAAACCGGGAGGCAGAGGUUGCAGUGUGCCAAGAUCGCGCCUCUCCACUCCAGGCUGGGCGACAAAGCAAGACUUCGUCUCAAUCAAUCAAUCAAUCAAUGAGAGUGGAUGCAAUAUUAUCCCUAUAAUAAUAUUCUCAGUACCUUGCAUUCAUAUAUGCUUUUAUUACUUUGGCAAGCAAGGAACACUGGGUAUUGCACAUAACUUGAAGCCUGUUUAUCUCAGUUAAGUUGCUGCCAGUAAUCUUGGUCACCUUUCAGGAGUGUUACAGAUGAACAUCACCCAUUCUCUAACUUUAAUUUUUCUAAAUUAAAUGAAUUAUGAAAUAUAGUUGACCCUUGAACAAUGUGGAGGUUAGGGGUCAUCAACACAUCCCUCACUGCACAGUCAAAAAUCCACGUAUAACUUUUGGCUUCCCGAACACUUAACUACUAAUAGCCUACUGUUGACUUUACUGAUAAACCAUCUAUUAACACAUAUUUUGUAUGUUAUAUGUAUUAUAUGCUGUAUUUUUUAACAAUAAAGCAAGAAAAAAGGAAAUGGGCCGAGUGUGAUGGCUCACACCUGUUACCCCAACACUUUGGGAGGCUAAGGCGGGAGGAUUGCUUUAGGCCAGGAGUUCGAGAACAGCCUGGGCAAAAUAGUAAGAGUCCGUCUCUU
Pan troglodytes (chimpanzee) is the source of this 2463-nucleotide long non-coding RNA. RefSeq lists it as uncharacterized. The record is from RefSeq and is a predicted model, not a curated record. The transcript is spliced from 8 exons. Lineage: Eukaryota; Metazoa; Chordata; Mammalia; Primates; Hominidae.